Molecule: ribosomal RNA, 587 nt
Filed under: Nostoc sp. Y3.4
Lineage: Bacteria; Bacillati; Cyanobacteriota; Cyanophyceae; Nostocales; Nostocaceae
Description: bacterial SSU rRNA
Rfam family: Bacterial small subunit ribosomal RNA
Source: RNAcentral
GAAUCUGGCUCUAGGUCUGGGACAACCACUGGAAACGGUGGCUAAUACCGGAUGUGCCGAGAGGUGAAAGGUUAACUGCCUAGAGAUGAGCUCGCGUCUGAUUAGCUAGUUGGAAGUGUAAUGGACUCCCAAGGCGACGAUCAGUAGCUGGUCUGAGAGGACGAUCAGCCACACUGGGACUGAGACACGGCCCAGACUCCUACGGGAGGCAGCAGUGGGGAAUUUUCCGCAAUGGGCGAAAGCCUGACGGAGCAAUACCGCGUGAGGGAGGAAGGCUCUUGGGUCGUAAACCUCUUUUCUCAGGGAAGAACACAAUGACGGUACCUGAGGAAUAAGCAUCGGCUAACUCCGUGCCAGCAGCCGCGGUAAUACGGAGGAUGCAAGCGUUAUCCGGAAUGAUUGGGCGUAAAGCGUCCGCAGGUGGCAAUGUAAGUCUGCUGUUAAAGAGUCUAGCUCAACUAGAUACAAGCAGUGGAAACUACAUAGCUAGAGUACGUUCGGGGCAGAGGGAAUUCCUGGUGUAGCGGUGAAAUGCGUAGAGAUCAGGAAGAACACCGGUGGCGAAGGCGCUCUGCUAGGCCGUAACU